RNAcentral lists this ribosomal RNA (429 nucleotides) under Actinomycetes bacterium. Its description in RNAcentral is "Actinobacteria bacterium partial 16S ribosomal RNA". It matches the Rfam family "Bacterial small subunit ribosomal RNA", at positions 355 to 776 of the family's 1533-position model. The record is from RNAcentral. Lineage: Bacteria; Bacillati; Actinomycetota; Actinomycetes.
UAGGGAAUCUUCCGCAAUGGGCGAAAGCCUGACGGAGCAACGCCGCGUGAGUGAUGAAGGUCUUCGGAUCGUAAAACUCUGUUAUUAGGGAAGAACAAAUGUGUAAGUAACUAUGCACGUCUUGACGGUACCUACUCAGAAAGCCACGGCUAACUACGUGCCAGCAGCCGCGGUAAUACGUAGGUGGCAAGCGUUAUCCGGAAUUAUUGGGCGUAAAGCGCGCGUAGGCGGUUUUUUAAGUCUGAUGUGAAAGCCCACGGCUCAACCGUGGAGGGUCAUUGGAAACUGGAAAACUUGAGUGCAGAAGAGGAAAGUGGAAUUCCAUGUGUAGCGGUGAAAUGCGCAGAGAUAUGGAGGAACACCAGUGGCGAAGGCGACUUUCUGGUCUGUAACUGACGCUGAUGUGCGAAAGCGUGGGGAUCAAACAGG